This 740-nucleotide ribosomal RNA is filed under the name uncultured bacterium. RNAcentral describes it as "bacterial SSU rRNA". It matches the Rfam family "Bacterial small subunit ribosomal RNA", at positions 394 to 1137 of the family's 1533-position model. The record is from RNAcentral.
GCACUCGCUGGAUGAAGAAUCCCUCCGGGAUGUAAGCUCUGUUGUACGGGAAGAGAAGCAGACGGUACCGUACGAGGAAGCCCCGCCAAACUACGUGCCAGCAGCCGCGGUAAUACGUAAGGGGGCCAAGCGUUGUCCAGGAAUUACUGGGGCGUAAAGCGCACGCAGGCGGCCCAUCAAGUCGGUUGUAAAAGCAGUGGCUCAACUACUGUAAAGACGCCCGAUAACUUGAUGAGCUAGAGAUGUGAGAGGGAACGGAAUUCCCGGUGUACGGUGAAAAUGCGUAGAUAUCGGGGAGGAAACACCCAGUGGCGAAAGGCGGGCUUCCGGGCACAAGACUGACGCUCAUGUGCGAAAGCUAGGGUAGCGAACGGGAUUAGAUACCCCGGUAGUCCUAGCCGUAAACGAUGGAUACUGGGUGUGGGUGCCGCAGGGCAUCUGUGCCGGAGCGAACGCGUUAAGUAUCCCGCCUGGGGACUACGGUCGCAAGACUGAAACUCAAAGGAAUUGACGGGGGCCCGCACAAGCGGUGGAGCACGUGGUUUAAUUCGAUGCAAACCGAAGAACCUUACCUGGGUUUGACAUGACGGUGUUAGGCGCGAGAGAUUGCGCCGACCGCGCAGAGAUGCGCGGAGCCGCCACAGGUGCUGCAUGGCUGUCGUCAGCUCGUGUCGUGAGAUGUUGGGUCAAGUCCCAAAACGAGCGCAACCCUAAUCGAUUCCCGCGAAACCAUGGGCGGA